RNAcentral lists this transfer RNA (76 nucleotides) under archaeon. RNAcentral describes it as "tRNA-Glu". The record is from RNAcentral.
GCCCCUGUGGUGUAGUACGGUCAAUCAUCUCACCCUUUCGAGGUGAGGACCCGGGUUCAAAUGUCCUUUAGGGAGA